This is a non-coding RNA of Rhodocollybia butyracea, 121 nucleotides long. The record is from the annotation of a GenBank genome assembly. NCBI's taxonomy places the organism in Eukaryota, Fungi, Basidiomycota, Agaricomycetes, Agaricales, Omphalotaceae.
GCCUCCUUAGCUCAGUGGUAGAGCAUUGCGCUUGUAUACCUUGACGCUGAUGCUUACGCGCUUACGACUGAAUGUCAUUUAUACAAUGCAAAGGCCAGCCGUUCAAUCCGGCUAGAAGGCA